Non-coding RNA from Oryza glumipatula, 210 nucleotides. The record is from Rfam. NCBI's taxonomy places the organism in Eukaryota, Viridiplantae, Streptophyta, Magnoliopsida, Poales, Poaceae.
AAUAAAUGCAGUUUUGGUACUGUUCAUGUCCAACGUUUGACUGUUCGUCUUAUUUAAAAAAAAUUAUGAUUAGUAUUUUUAUUGUUAUAACAUGAUAAAACAUGAAUAGUACUUUAUGUGUGACUAUUUUUUUAAAAUUUUUUCAUAUAUUUUUUUAAAUAAGACGGACGGUCAAAAUGCUGAACACGGAUAUCUAUGGCUGCACUUAUU